This 329-nucleotide ribosomal RNA is filed under the name uncultured eukaryote. Its description in RNAcentral is "partial 18S ribosomal RNA". It matches the Rfam family "Eukaryotic small subunit ribosomal RNA", at positions 1470 to 1796 of the family's 1831-position model. The record is from RNAcentral.
CCCUUAGAUGUUCUGGGCCGCACGCGCGCUACACUGACGGAGGCAGCGUGCGUGUCCUUCGCCGGCAGGUGCGGGCAAUCUUGCGAGUCUCCGUCGUGCUGGGGAUAGAUGGUUGCAAUUGUCGAUCUUGAACGAGGAAUUCCUAGUAAGCGCGAGUCAUCAGCUCGCGCUGAUUACGUCCCUGCCCUUUGUACACACCGCCCGUCGCUACUACAGAGUGCCCGUGUCCAAGAAACGGUCGGACCUGUGCGGCCUCUCCGGGCGACCGGAGGGCCGUUACGGGGAAGACCCUUUAUUUGACGCGGGUCGAUGAAGUAAAAGUCGUAACA